GGAGAUAUAAUAGACACAAAACAAUGUGCCUAGGUUAGAGCAAAGAGAAGAAGAAGAGGGUCUUCUUCUUGGGUUGCUGAGUUCACCUCUUCCCUUCCUCCAUAUGUGAGUUUUCUGAGAGUGUCUCAUCUAAAACUCCUUCUCCUACUUCUUAUCUUUAGAAGAGUCCAAAUCAAAAAGAAGGAGGUAUCUGAUCAACCAUCGAAGAAGGAUCAGCACAGUACUAGUAUACUAUGCUGAUUUUCUGGACCAGAACUUCUGAUCGUGAUUCGCGGGCUCGUGUGGAUGACUCCUAGAGACCAGAUGCAUGUGUGGCUCAUAAC
RNAcentral lists this long non-coding RNA (323 nucleotides) under Elaeis guineensis (African oil palm). RNAcentral's name for it is "long non-coding RNA (EGUI_LNC081238)". Lineage: Eukaryota; Viridiplantae; Streptophyta; Magnoliopsida; Arecales; Arecaceae. The record is from RNAcentral.